This 967-nucleotide unclassified non-coding RNA is filed under the name Hevea brasiliensis (rubber tree). The record is from RNAcentral. Lineage: Eukaryota; Viridiplantae; Streptophyta; Magnoliopsida; Malpighiales; Euphorbiaceae.
CAAAAUCCCAGAGUCCUUCAAAGGUGAACUAUCGUACAGGACUCUAUUAGGAUGCUGUGUCCAUGCCCAGAAUAUGAGGAAAGCAAAGGCAGUGUUCAAGAAAAUGGGUGAGUUAAAGUUGCCAAUGAAUGUGGAUGCUUGCAAUCAGAUGAUCAUUCUGUAUAAGAGGCUUUAAAAGAAAAAAAAAGCUGAUAUNNGAUAUCUUAUUGAUGAUGGAGCAGCAGGAUAUCAAGCCAUCUCUCCUCACAUACAAACUUCUUAUAGAUACCAAAGGUGAGUUCAAUGACAUUAUGGCGAUGGAGCAAUUGGUUGAGGAUAUGAAGGCUGAUGGUUUUGAACCUGACAUCAAUGCUCUAACUGUCAUGGCUAAGCACUACAUAAAGGGGGGGUUCAAACAUAAAGCUGAAACUGUUUUGAAAGAAAUAGAAGAAAGAAAACUUAAGGGAAUUAUUGGGGCCCGAAGAUCAUUGCUUCUCCUCUAUGCUUCUCUUGGCAGAGCUGAUAAGGUGGGAAAAUUUUGGAAGGACUGUGAAGCAGAUCCCAAGAUGCAGGAGUGUGUAGCUGCCAUAGAAGCCUGGGGCAAGUUGGGCAAAGUAGGGGAGGCAGAAGCAGUAUUUGAUAUGAUGCUUCAGAAAUGGGAGAGGAUCUCCUCCAGGCAUUACUCUUCACUUCUGAAAGUUUAUAUAGAUAAUAAGCAACUUACCAAGGGGAAAGAUUUGGUGAAACGGUUGGUUGAUGCUGGAUGCUGGAUUGGCCCAUUAACUUGCGAUGCGUUAGUGAAGUUCUAUAUUGAAGCUGGGGAUGUCGACAGAGCAAGCUCAAUUCUGCAGAAGACAGCUCACAGGGAGAAAAUGAGACCCUUGUUCACAUCUUUCAUAGCUAUAAUGGAGCAGUAUGCAAAGCGGGGUGAUGUACAUAAUACUGAGAUGUUGUUUCAGAGAAUGAAGGAGUUUGGAUACAUCGGACG